Molecule: non-coding RNA, 1977 nt
Organism: Cajanus cajan (pigeon pea)
Lineage: Eukaryota; Viridiplantae; Streptophyta; Magnoliopsida; Fabales; Fabaceae
Source: RefSeq, a predicted model, not a curated record
GGCAUGGUAAGACUUAUAGGCUUGAAGGCGCUACUUCAAAUUCCUUAGCAGUUAGCACCUUCACCUUCUCAAACAUUCUCCUCUUCCUUUUCACUAUCCAAAACUGGACCUCACUUUACCCGAACCCAUCAUGUUCGGCCCGGCCCAACCCGCUUCCAAGCCUCCCAAUUCCACCAUCAAACUCCUCUGCAGUUACGGCGGCAGAAUCCUCCCUCGCUACCCCGACGGCAAGCUCCGCUACCUCGGCGGCCACACCCGCGUCCUCGCCGUCCACCGCUCCAUCCUCUUCUCCGAGCUACUGCUGAAGCUGGAAGAGCUCUGCGGCGCCUCCGUGAGGCACCUUCGCUGCCAAUUACCCUCCGAAGACCUCGACGCCUUGGUUUCCAUCACCUCCGACGAAGAUCUCGCCAACCUCAUCGAGGAAUACGACCGCGUUUCCUCCGUCAAGAUCAGAGCCUUUCUCUCGCCGCCGUCACCGCCGAGAUCUCCCACCAAACUUUCCACACCGCCGUCCAAAUCCUCUUCCUCCUCCGUCUCCUCCUCCUCCUCCUCCUCCUCGUCCUCGUCCUCGUCGUAUUGCAGCCCUACCGCCGCCGCCGUCUCUGGCCGGACUUACAGAACGUCGGCGCCGUCGGUCGACCGUUGCGUCCACCAGAUGUCGCCGGCGCCGGCGUAUCCGGUCGUGGUACAGAAAUCGAAAUCGUCCGGGAGGAAUGUUCCUCUGCCGCGCUACGGUUACCAUGGGAACAAUGGCCACGUUUAUCUGAUUCACAACGGGAACCACUGGCAAUAGCGAAACGGUGUCGUUUAGAUGAAGUGUUGGAAUAGUGGAAUGGAAGUACUGGUGUUAUUAUUAUAAAAAGAAAAUGAUAUAUAAAAAAGAAUAUUAUAAAAACCAAGACUGAAAACAAAAGGGGGAAAGGAGAGUCCUGAAUAUGUGUGAUGUAAAAUCGUUGACAAGUCAAGGAUUGUGGUUUUAGCUUGUGAUCCUUGAUUGCCCAUUAAUGAAUUUCUCUCCAAUUUCGUGUUUGGUUUAAUUGAGGACUGAGAAUAUUUUACUCGCACGAGACAGCAUUUGGCGCGUUUCCAUUGUAAGUUUGUUUUACCCGACAUAAAUUUGUUUAUGUUCCUGGCAUCAUUCAUUACCAUACGUUUUUCUUUAUUUGAUGCUUCAAUUUUUGAAAUUUAUUGAUUCUUAUUCUUGUUCCAUUGUUAGUUAUGAAUUGUUAUAUGCUUCUAAAAAUGCUUCGUGGAAAUUAGAUUUAUUUUCUUUGUUCUGGGGCUUAUGCAAAACCUUCAGAUUUUAGAACUAACUUCUUUGUUCAGCGACCUCUAUUGUCUGCAUAAAUUCUCUCCAUGUUAAAUUCCUUUUGAGUUCUGGGAUUCUGGCCAGGUUCAAAGGAACUAAUGAAAUGCUGAUAUAAACACUGAACUAUGAACACGGGAGGACAUGUUAGAUUCUUGAGAACACCAAAAGAGAUUGCAGGGCAAUGUUGGAACGCAUAUAGCACAUGGGGGACCAGACUCGAUGCAAGAGAUAAAUUGAACUCGUAAUGAAAUUUAGAACUAUCUCUUGACAGCUGGCACAUGAAUGUUCAAAGAACUUGAACUCAAGGUGUGAAUAAAUGGAACAAAACUACAAAUUGAUAGAACCAACAUAAAUUGAGAAUAUUUUCCUUUUUUGAAAAGAAGGAAAAGUAACAAAAGAACGAGAGAGAAAAGACUAAAAAUUGGCUCGUCCUUUCGGCAUGUAAGAUUUUGUAUUGGAAGUAAAAGGACCUCCACUCAUGUAACAUUCAGAGGGAAGGUUCCUUUCGCUGUCUUAGUUUUUGGAGAAGAUAUGAGAGAUAUUUCACCAACCCAAUUACCCGGAAUCAAUUAAUUAUUUUAUUAAUUAAAAUUUAAAACAAUGCCAAAAUAGGCUUGAAACAGAGUUCGUCUAUGUUAACUUCAGCAAGACGAUUUAAGGAUAUUCUA